This 327-nucleotide ribosomal RNA is filed under the name uncultured eukaryote. RNAcentral describes it as "partial 18S ribosomal RNA". It matches the Rfam family "Eukaryotic small subunit ribosomal RNA", at positions 1470 to 1796 of the family's 1831-position model. The record is from RNAcentral.
CCCUUAGAUGUUCUGGGCCGCACGCGCGCUACACUGACGAAUGCAACGAGCUUAUAACCUUGGCCGAAAGGUCUGGGUAAUCUCCAAAUUUCGUCGUGAUGGGGAUAGAUUAUUGCAAUUAUUAAUCUUCAACGAGGAAUGCCUAGUAAGCGCAAGUCAUCAGCUUGCGUUGAUUACGUCCCUGCCCUUUGUACACACCGCCCGUCGCUCCUACCGAUUGAAUGGUCCGGUGAAGCGCUCGGACCGCGGCCUCUUGACGGUUCACUGUCGAUUGGCUGUGGGAAGUUCGUUAAACCUUAUCAUUUAGAGGAAGGAGAAGUCGUAACA